Molecule: ribosomal RNA, 253 nt
Filed under: uncultured bacterium
Lineage: Bacteria
Description: partial 16S ribosomal RNA
Rfam family: Bacterial small subunit ribosomal RNA
Source: RNAcentral
UACGGAGGGUGCAAGCGUUAUCCGGAUUUACUGGGUUUAAAGGGUGCGUAGGCGGGUUAUUAAGUCAGUGGUGAAAGCCUACAGCUUAACUGUAGAAUUGCCAUUGAUACUGAUGAUCUUGAGUAUGAUUGAGGUGGGCGGAAUGUGUCAUGUAGCGGUGAAAUGCUUAGAUAUGACACAGAACACCGAUUGCGAAGGCAGCUCACUAAGUCAUAACUGACGCUGAUGCACGAAAGCGUGGGGAGCAAACAGG